GUGGAUGCCUUGGUAUCGAGAGGCGAUGAAGGACGUGAUACGCUGCGAAAAGCUUCGGGGAGCUGCGAAUGGGCUUUGAUCCGAAGAUAUCCGAAUGGGGAAACCCGGCCCUUUAGGGUCAUCUGCUGCUGAAUACAUAGGCGGUGGAAGCGAACCCGGUGAACUGAAACAUCUCAGUAACCGGAGGAAAGGACAUCAACCGAGACUCCGUUAGUAGUGACGAGCGAACGCGGACCAGGCCAGUGGCCGAGAGGUAAGAACCGGAAGCGUCUGGAAAGACGCGCCAGAGCGGGUGACAGCCCCGUACGGGUAGAAAGCUUCUCGGUCCUCGAGUAGGGCGGGACACGUGAAAUCCUGUCUGAACAUGGGGGGACCACCCUCCAAGCCUAAGUACUCCUCAGCGACCGAUAGCGAACCAGUACCGUGAGGGAAAGGUGAAAA
RNAcentral lists this ribosomal RNA (441 nucleotides) under Synchroma pusillum. RNAcentral describes it as "partial Bacterial large subunit ribosomal RNA". It matches the Rfam family "Bacterial large subunit ribosomal RNA", at positions 24 to 520 of the family's 2925-position model. Lineage: Eukaryota; Synchromophyceae; Synchromales; Synchromaceae. The record is from RNAcentral.